AUUGAACGCCGGCGGCAGGCCUAACACAUGCAAGUCGAGCGGAUGAAGGGAGCUUGCUCCUGGAUUCAGCGGCGGACGGGUGAGUAAUGCCUAGGAAUCUGCCUGGUAGUGGGGGAUAACGUCCGGAAACGGGCGCUAAUACCGCAUACGUCCUGAGGGAGAAAGUGGGGGAUCUUCGGACCUCACGCUAUCAGAUGAGCCUAGGUCGGAUUAGCUAGUUGGUGGGGUAAAGGCCUACCAAGGCGACGAUCCGUAACUGGUCUGAGAGGAUGAUCAGUCACACUGGAACUGAGACACGGUCCAGACUCCUACGGGAGGCAGCAGUGGGGAAUAUUGGACAAUGGGCGAAAGCCUGAUCCAGCCAUGCCGCGUGUGUGAAGAAGGUCUUCGGAUUGUAAAGCACUUUAAGUUGGGAGGAAGGGCAGUAAGUUAAUACCUUGCUGUUUUGACGUUACCAACAGAAUAAGCACCGGCUAACUUCGUGCCAGCAGCCGCGGUAAUACGAAGGGUGCAAGCGUUAAUCGGAAUUACUGGGCGUAAAGCGCGCGUAGGUGGUUCAGCAAGUUGGAUGUGAAAUCCCCGGGCUCAACCUGGGAACUGCAUCCAAAACUACUGAGCUAGAGUACGGUAGAGGGUGGUGGAAUUUCCUGUGUAGCGGUGAAAUGCGUAGAUAUAGGAAGGAACACUAGUGGCGAAGGCGACCACCUGGACUGAUACUGACACUGAGGUGCGAAAGCGUGGGGAGCAAACAGGAUUAGAUACCCUGGUAGUCCACGCCGUAAACGAUGUCGACUAGCCGUUGGGAUCCUUGAGAUCUUAGUGGCGCAGCUAACGCGAUAAGUCGACCGCCUGGGGAGUACGGCCGCAAGGUUA
This 873-nucleotide ribosomal RNA is filed under the name uncultured Pseudomonadales bacterium. RNAcentral's name for it is "bacterial SSU rRNA". It matches the Rfam family "Bacterial small subunit ribosomal RNA", at positions 28 to 896 of the family's 1533-position model. The record is from RNAcentral. Lineage: Bacteria; Pseudomonadati; Pseudomonadota; Gammaproteobacteria; Pseudomonadales.